GGCGUAGUGCGGCAGACAUGUUUGACGGUCGUAAUCUUAAUCAAUAAUCAGUCAAUAGCUCGUAAUUUUCCACUUACAAUAAAUCUAUUAGAACAAAAGUGGUGGUCCUUCAAGCCUCAACCUAUCCAUAUAAAUGGUCGUUCGAGCCGGAUGGUCCAGCAAAACAACGAAGAGUUCGAGCACGUAAAAAGUCGCCGGCCGGAUAGCAACGUCGAGCAAAAACGCGUUUUGUUCCGCCAUUAAGACACCGAAAUAGUACGGGCAACUCAUCUCGAAGCAAUUUAACACGUUCUCAGACGAAAAAAACUCACAAACAAUCAGUUGAAACUCGAAAAAGAAUCCACUGGUAGCGUAGUUUCACGAAAAAUCGUAAAAUGUCGUAGCAGUCUACAGGGUAAAACAAAAAGAAGGUUAACGUGGGACAUGGCACAAAAAAGGUUGGAAACACUAGUUUAGAGAUGACGACAAUGCAUAACGGGGUGUAAUGUAGACUGGCCCACUGCAAUAAACGCCUUAGGUUAAAAUGCGGAAGAGACUAGAACGAGAGAACUGAGAAAGAAACGGAGCUAGGUGUGGCAGAAACGCAGUACCUAGACUCUUGUGAAUAUACAGAGAGUAACUAAAAAUUAUGGUUUUUGUUAGUUUCUGUCUAAUUCUAAUACUUACUUCAUUGUUAGUUGCAAAUAUGAUGAAUUCUUAUUG
Molecule: long non-coding RNA, 702 nt
Organism: Dendroctonus ponderosae (mountain pine beetle)
Lineage: Eukaryota; Metazoa; Arthropoda; Insecta; Coleoptera; Curculionidae
Exons: 2
Source: RefSeq, a predicted model, not a curated record